UACAGAGGGGGCAAGCGUUGUUCGGAAUUACUGGGCGUAAAGGGCGCGUAGGCGGCCUGCUAAGUCGAACGUGAAAUCCCCGAGCUCAACUCGGGAACUGCGUCCGAUACUGGCAGGCUUGAAUCCGGGAGAGGGAUGCGGAAUUCCAGGUGUAGCGGUGAAAUGCAUAGAUAUCUGGAGGAACACCGGUGGCGAAGGCGGCAUCCUGGACCGGCAUUGACGCUGAGGCGCGAAAGCCAGGGGAGCAAACGGG
Molecule: ribosomal RNA, 253 nt
Filed under: uncultured bacterium
Lineage: Bacteria
Description: partial 16S ribosomal RNA
Rfam family: Bacterial small subunit ribosomal RNA
Source: RNAcentral